AUGUCUAGCCCACCAGCAACACCUCCAACGGACUCAACUGAUGAGCAAAGUCCAUCACCACCACCAUCUAGUCCACCAGUAGCUCUAUCAAGUCCUCCACCACCAUCAUCGAGUACACCACCGGCUCCAUCCAUUGCCACACCACCUUUGUCUAGUCCCCCUGCUACACCUCCAACGUACCAAGCUGAUGACCAGUCCCCUCCACCUCCACCUUCAUAUAGUUCGCCACCGACAGUUUUAGCUAGUCCUCCACCACCACCAUUGAGUCCACCAGCAAUGGCACCAACCACUAGAGCACCUCCUCCAUCUACUUUCCCAUCGCCUAUGUCUAGUCCACCAGCAAUACCUCCGACCAACCAAGGUAACCACCCACCGCCAUCAUCACCAUUAAGUCCACCUACCACACCUCCGAUGUACCAAGUUAACCAACCACCACCACCACAAUUUAGUCCCCCUGCCACACCUCCGACCUAUCAAGGUAAUGCCCCACCACCGGCAUCGGCACCAGCACCACUUACUACCUCAGCAACAGCACCGCCACCUGGUGCCCCUACUGGCAAUGGAUGGGUGCAAGUUCAGAACUUUCAUGACGCCCUAUACUGGCAAAUCGGGCGCUUUGUGGUGUUCAAGUUGGUAAACAAGAAGGACAACUCCCUUGUUGAUGUGCUCUAUGUGAGCAUGCAACCUGCAGGAAAGGGCAACAACUACUUUCUUGUGAUAAAAGUAGUAGAUGGAUAUAAGAAGGUCGGCAAGUAUCAUGUGCUCCUAUGGGGUGUGCCCGGGUCAGCAGAUGAAGCAUGGAAAGUAUAUUGGCUCAAAUUUGUAGGAUGA
RNAcentral lists this ribosomal RNA (831 nucleotides) under Triticum aestivum (bread wheat). Its description in RNAcentral is "partial small subunit ribosomal RNA". The record is from RNAcentral. Lineage: Eukaryota; Viridiplantae; Streptophyta; Magnoliopsida; Poales; Poaceae.